RNAcentral lists this long non-coding RNA (1477 nucleotides) under Medicago truncatula (barrel medic). RNAcentral describes it as "long non-coding RNA (MTRU_LNC002972)". The record is from RNAcentral. Lineage: Eukaryota; Viridiplantae; Streptophyta; Magnoliopsida; Fabales; Fabaceae.
UUCAAUUACUUUUAGACCACUUUUGUUAUAUUUGGACUGUAUAUAUGUCUGUUUGGGCUGAUUUUGUGGUUUGAGUGGAUUAGGUUUAUCAAACCUGCUAAUUUUUGUGGAAUUUUUCAAAGAUUUAUCAAAUCAUAAAAUAAUGAGAAAUGCAUGUAUAGUUAUUUUAUAAAAUUGUAAGAUAAUCUUUAUAUGAAAACAAUAGUUAAUUUUACGAUUUAUCAAUUGCAUGGCCUGGUGAUGGACGAUUUGGCAAGUGCACCAAAUCAUAACAAAUAAUAAAGUAAUAAGUUAUCGUCUCUACAUGAAUUGUCGUUCAACUUAGCAAUUAACAAAAUUUAUUUAUGUAAAAAACUUCAUCUCCUUUCAAGCUAAACAUAAAGCACCCUCAUGCAUCAUAAAGAGAUUCCUCUUCUCUUUCUAAAAGUUGGUUAUCUCAAGUCUCAACACGCUUCUUCUUGAAAUUUGUGUCCAAGAAGAACCGUUCUACAAAUUUAUCUUAAAGUUAAUCCAUAUUUUAAUGGUUCCACUUGAUAAAGCCAACCGCCAAUUUUUAGCUCUUCCAACUAGAGACAUUGGAAAAAGUUGCAGUAGUGUCUUCUGAUCCACUGUUAUACCAUCUGGGCAGCAAUACUGACAAGUCUCAUAGACUUGUUGGGGUCUUGUACUGGUCCUCCACCACAUACAUGUUGUGCUUCAAACUUGUACAGUAUAAAAUGUUUUCCUCCUUCCAAAAAAGAGUAUAAAAUGUUUUCCAAAAACCAAUAAUUUUAGCGCAAAGUGGUUAACGAGUUUCAUCAAGUACGAAUUAUUAAGGAGCAAUUUAUUGAUGAAAUAAUUUUUAUUCAGACUUUAUUUAUUUUUCGCCCAAACUCCAGAUUAUCAGAGUCUCUUUUUCCAAAAAUUGAAAUAUACACAAAAAUAUGUUUCCCAAAAACAUAAAUACAAAAAUAUCAUAUAACAUUCUUUAAAUAUAUAUAUAUAUAUAUAUAUAUAUAUAUAUAUAUAUAUAUAUAUAUAUAUAUUUUGAAGAGACUAAAAUGAAAUAUAUUAACACAACAAUGGUCUUCCUAGCACUAGGUGUGCUAAGGAAGAAACACCAAAGUCAACACAGUAUUACAUCAAUAAUUACAAGGCCACAGCCAGCACCAAAAAACUGCAUAGGAGACUACAGAGUUUAUCAUAUGUCUAAUAAAGUGAAAGAACUAUUGAAAGGAAUAGUAGCAUACUUCACCUUCAACCACUUAUAAGUUAGCAGCUUAAACCUGUCCACCACCUGAACGAUUGAACUAUAUAUAUAACAUUGUUCUUCCAUUAGUGGUUGUAGUCGCGUGUUUAUUAACCGACGAUCCUUUGCAGCUGAAAUGCGAUAUUCAUGUUAUACGUUUUAUCAUUCUCCGUUACUUCACGUUACUACAUAUUUUCAAUUAGUUUGAUAAUGACAUGCACUAAAAAAUUAUUAUUUUAUCCAAUUAUA